Non-coding RNA from Benincasa hispida (wax gourd), 481 nucleotides. The record is from RefSeq and is a predicted model, not a curated record. NCBI's taxonomy places the organism in Eukaryota, Viridiplantae, Streptophyta, Magnoliopsida, Cucurbitales, Cucurbitaceae.
AUAUGUCUUUCCAGCUUCAACCUCCAUGGCAAAAGUAUCUGGAAAGUGAAUCGCAAAGGAAAACCAAAUCAUCAUCAGUGCUAUGUUCACUGAAACUGGUGCCAAAGACCCAAAAGCUUUCUCCAAUUAAUAUUGCUUACGUUUUUCCGAACAAGGGAAGAGCGGCCCUGGCUUGCCAUUGAUUGUGUGAGCAUCAGACAUAUUUGGUGGCACGCCCAUGCUGGAUCCUUGGUUGACAACCGCCUCCACAUCAUUAUUCCACCAUUCUCCUGCACCAGAGGUCCAUCUGCCCACCCAUUUCGAUACUGCUUCAAUCCAUGCCUGCAGAAUAUGCAGAAGGCGACAGAGAUAAACCAACUUCUGCAGAAAAUGAGAUUAAUCCUAAACAACAGGCAACGAAGAGAAAUGUCAGACGAUGAAUGAACCAAACCAAGCGGGCCAUUGUCUUUUGGCAAUGGCUUUUUUUCUUUUUUUCCCGAGG